Molecule: ribosomal RNA, 393 nt
Filed under: uncultured bacterium
Lineage: Bacteria
Description: partial 16S ribosomal RNA
Rfam family: Bacterial small subunit ribosomal RNA
Source: RNAcentral
AUACGUAGGGUGCAAGCGUUAUCCGGAUUUAUUGGGUUUAAAGGGUGCGUAGGCUGACGUGUAAGUCAGAGGUGAAAUCUCCGGGCUCAACCUGGGAACUGCCUUUGAUACUGCAUGUCUGGAGUUCGGAUGCCGUGGGAGGAAUGGGCAGUGUAGCGGUGAAAUGCAUAGAUAUUGCCCAGAACACCGAUUGCGAAGGCAUCUCACGAAUCCGACACUGACGCUGAGGCACGAAAGCGUGGGGAUCAAACAGGAUUAGAUACCCUGGUAGUCCACGCAGUAAACGAUGAUAACUAACCGUCGGCGAUAGACAGUCGGUGGCCAAGCGUAAGCGAUAAGUUAUCCACCUGGGGAGUACGUUCGCAAGAAUGAAACUCAAAGGAAUUGACGGGG